This 135-nucleotide small nucleolar RNA is filed under the name Catagonus wagneri (Chacoan peccary). RNAcentral's name for it is "Small nucleolar RNA SNORA31 (ENSCWAG00000005099.1)". It matches the Rfam family "Small nucleolar RNA SNORA31". Rfam says of the family: ACA31 (SNORA31) belongs to the H/ACA class of snoRNAs which are thought to guide the sites of modification of uridines to pseudouridines. ACA31 is predicted to guide the pseudouridylation of U3713 in 28S rRNA and U218 in 18S rRNA. Lineage: Eukaryota; Metazoa; Chordata; Mammalia; Artiodactyla; Tayassuidae. The record is from Rfam by way of RNAcentral.
UUGCAUAUAUUGGACAGACUUGGGGCAGUUAUUGUCUGCUGUUUAGGUUUUUAUUACAGAUGGAAAGAUAAAAGUUUCCUCAUGCUUGCUUUCUGUCCGAUUGUGGCAGCUAAGACUGAAAAGGGGAAUGCAGGA